CCUACGGGUGGCAGCAGUCGAGAAUCAUUCACAAUGGGGGAAACCCUGAUGGUGCGACGCCGCGUGGGGGAAUGAAGGUCUUCGGAUUGUAAACCCCUGUCAUGUGGGAGCAAAUUAAAAAGAUAGUACCACAAGAGGAAGAGACGGCUAACUCUGUGCCAGCAGCCGCGGUAAUACAGAGGUCUCAAGCGUUGUUCGGAAUCACUGGGCGUAAAGCGUGCGUAGGCUGUUUCGUAAGUCGUGUGUGAAAGGCGCGGGCUCAACCCGCGGACGGCACAUGAUACUGCGGGACUAGAGUAAGGGAGAGGGAACCGGAAUUCUCGGUGUAGCAGUGAAAUGCGUAGAUAUCGAGAGGAACACUCGUGGCGAAGGCGGGGUCCUGGACAUUAACUGACGCUGAGGCACGAAGGCCAGGGGAGCGAAAGGGAUUAGAUACCCGGGUAGUC
RNAcentral lists this ribosomal RNA (446 nucleotides) under uncultured bacterium. Its description in RNAcentral is "partial 16S ribosomal RNA". It matches the Rfam family "Bacterial small subunit ribosomal RNA", at positions 338 to 795 of the family's 1533-position model. The record is from RNAcentral.